AUGAGGUGAAUGGUUUGGCUUUGCUGUGUGGUCCUGUCAUGAUUUGUUGCCUCACCACAGGGCCGAAACAGUGGAGCUAAUUGGUCAUGGGUUGGAACCUCUGAGACUGUGAGCCAAAAUAAACCUUUUUUAUUGUCUCAUGGAUGACAGACCUUCCACACCACGCUCCUGGUCUGACUGUGAAGAGUGGGCAGUGUGCAGAAAGAGAUGGAGCACAGAGACAGGGAAGGACAAGAAGACAGACGGCCCUUGCUCUUUCCCUCUCCAGCUUCUCUUUGUAUGCCACCAGGAGCUUGGGAACAAUGCGUGUGAGACCAUUUGAGAGGACAGUAAAGCCCCAGAGAAGCAUCGUGCUUGCUGGUGCAAAGGUGGCCUGUGGAUCUGAGUUAAUCUCCUGAUCUCCACCUCUCCUGCAUCCUGCUCCCUCCAAGACUCCCAGUGGAUGCAUGAGACCACAGAGAGCAUUGAUUAUCAACAGUUUUCUCUGUCCAUUCAGACCCAUGAUGGUGCUUCAUUUAUAAAUGAAGCACAGGAAGAAUGUGCCUAAAGUUUUCUGAACAAUGAUAAAACAAAACAAUUA
Chinchilla lanigera (long-tailed chinchilla) is the source of this 580-nucleotide long non-coding RNA. RefSeq lists it as uncharacterized. The transcript is spliced from 3 exons. The record is from RefSeq and is a predicted model, not a curated record. NCBI's taxonomy places the organism in Eukaryota, Metazoa, Chordata, Mammalia, Rodentia, Chinchillidae.